RNAcentral lists this long non-coding RNA (5793 nucleotides) under Citrus maxima (pomelo). RNAcentral's name for it is "long non-coding RNA (CMAX_LNC002581)". The record is from RNAcentral. Lineage: Eukaryota; Viridiplantae; Streptophyta; Magnoliopsida; Sapindales; Rutaceae.
AGGAACCGUAGCGAAAAUACACGAACAAAAACACCUCAAAUAUCUUCAGCAGAACAAGUAGUGAUCAACAAAAUGCACUCCAAUGAAAUUGGCUUACUGUUUAUUGUAUUACAAUGAAGUGAUUUUAUCUUAUAACAUUGGAUAUCGGAUACCACCAAAUUGGAUGGUACAAAUGUAAAUUUUAUCUUAAAGAUGUCUUGUACAAGGUAUCGAAACAUGAUCAAGAAACACUCCAGGAAAUCAUUAUUUGCACGUAAUGAUUGACAUUUAUUGGAGUUGAUCACACACGCAUAAUGGAAAUCACUUGAAAUCUAAACUAACAGAGAGCCUUCCAUCACAGUAAUAGCUUUUCCUCGCAGCUGCACUCUCUGAUUCUGCUUGUCUACAUGAAUGUUCAAGAUCCCACUUCUUGGUGAUGCCUGAGUCAGGUAAAAUGUAAUCAACAUAUAACAAUUAGAAGGAAUAUGAAUAGACAUAAAUUAGAGAGAAAUGGAUGCAAAGAGAGUACCGCAUAAGCCACAAAAUCACACUUUCCAAGCUUUUGACUCCAAUAGGUUGCCAAAGCACAAUGUGCACUCCCACAAACGGGAUCCUGAUAUAAACAAGUCAUGUACAUAUAAGACUGUUAUUAGAACUGUUUCAAUAUUGACAGAGUUUUUGAAAAUUAUUUCCAUCUUACUUAUUGGAUCCUAAACUACAGUACCACACAUAAAAGACAGUUCUUUGUUCUCUUACAUAGACACAUUACUUCAAAUGCCAAAAAUCCUUCUUGAAAUCAAAACCGAGCAAUCUACACUAGACUUUAGAGGCACUAUAUGUUUCGAAGUUAGCAAAUGGGUGAAAAGCUAGUAGGAAAUGAGCAAUAAUUUUGUUCACUUUCAGCUGUUACAUUUCACUCAAUUUGCAGGCCUUAUUACUCAUCAGAUUUUCUAAAACAGAAAUGAUAUUCAAUGCACAUCUUCAUGUAGCAUGAGUUAUGACAAAUGUACAUGCUCAUAAUACAGUAGUAUAUAAACUCAUUCAUUAAAACCAACGAGUUAUUACCUCAUUGAUGCCAAAUUUAGGGCAAAAGAAUCGGCUAUAAAAAUCAAAUCCAGACUCUGGAGGAGCAAGCCCUGAAACAAUUAUGCCUCUUCCAGGACAUUUUCGUAUUUGAUCAAACUGUGGCUCCACGUCUGUAACAAAUUUCGCCGAUGGGAGCACGACCUGCAUAUCGUAGCCAACUUCAUUCAGAACAACUACUAACACUAUAUCCAAAUGAGUAAAGGGUUAAAAGAAAUUACAAAGAUGUCUUCUGAGGUAGUUGUUAUCUUCAUAUCCAUGACUGAAGAAACACUCAAAGCCUUAUGAAUUAAUGAAACCUCAGAAAAAUUGAAAUCAGUAGUUGGAACUGUAGGAAAAUCCAAUUCAAUAAAAUAGCACUCUUGUGCUUCGCCAUUCUGUGAAUUAGAGUCAUUCAUCGCCUUAACAUCUGGAUCUUUUUUGGCUGUUAGAAUUCCAGACAGUGUGGCAAAUUCAAUUAUGUUGGAGUUUACCAAACCUCUCGAAAAGAGAGUGUGUGCAGCUGCUAAUGUUGCAUGACCACAAAGUUCAACCUGCAAAAAACUUAUCCUGAAAUUAAAAUACACUCUCCUUUGCGUUGGAGUCAGUGUCAUAUAUAUAAAAAACUAUAACAUGAACACAUGCAAAUCUAUGAAGCCUAAUGAUCAGAAAUAAUAUCAUUCAAGAUAAAAAUUUAGCUAUAAUCUUCCUUCAGAACUAAAAGAAGCAUAGCACAUAAAUAAGAGUAAACAUUCCACAAUGAUGGAAUGAUGAAAAAACUAAAACCCCAUGAAAUAAGAUAAAUCAUCAAGCUCCAGAACUGAGCCAAAUAGCUUCAUCCACAACUUAUAAUUAUAAAAACUGAAACUGACCUCAGCAACAGGAGUGAACCAUCUAAGACGGAACCUCGGAUUAGGAGAUUCAGCAGCAGUAAGGCGAGUCAAGUAACCGGUCUGAGAGGUAUUGAACUCAGAAGCCACAGCUUGUAGCCAUUCUUCAUCUCUAUCUUCCUCUAACAAACAAACCGCUGCUGGGUUCCCCUUGAAAGCUGAGUCGGUAAAAGCAUCCACCUGUCAAAGCAACAAAAAGAACCCAGUCCCAUUCAACCACAACGGAACAUCAAUCUAUAAAUACAAAAGAGGAGAUUACUAUUAGUUACCACAGAAUAUUGUACGAGCUUCUUGGCCAUGUUGCAGAAUAAAGAAUGAAGUUUAGAGUUUGACACGUGAAACUUGGAGUUGCAAAAGGUGAAGAGCUGAAACCCGAAACUGAGAUGAAAGAAAUGGUCAACACCUAACAGCCGCCAACCUACUGUCUUUUUCUUUAUAUUUUUUUUCCUUUUUUUCCACGGUUCUUCCCCUCUCGGACGCUUGCCACAUUCGAUUGGACUGUGCAUGAUACAAUAAGAUUUGUUUUUCUUAUAAUUAUCUUGUAUUCUGCCUACUACAACCAACUGAUUAACUUAAUUUAUAAGAAAAGAAAUUUCUUAAAUUACAUUUAUUGUAAAGAGCAGAAUCAAGUGAGGCAACGGAUAAAUUUUAUUUGACAGUGAAUUAUAUUAAAUAUAAUUUAGAGAGAUUCAUAAGAAAAUGAGCCCCAAUAUGAUUAACGAACUUGCACAAAUUAUAUGGAUUCUUUUCUCUGAAAAAUGUCUUUGUUCUGAAAAACAUCAGAUCAAAAGAAACCAUAGCGAAAAUACACGAACAAAAACACCUCAAAUAUCUUCAGCAGAACAAGUAGUGAUCAACAAAAUACAGUCCAAUGAAAUUGGCUUACUGUUUAUUGUAUUACAAUGAAGUGAUUUUAUCAUAUAACAUUGGAUAUCAGAUACCACCAAAUUGGAUGGUACAAAUGUAAAUUUUAUCUUAAAGAUGUCUUGUACAAGGUAUCGAAACAUGAUCAAGAAACACUCCAGGGAAUCAUUAUUUGCACGUAAUGAUUGACAUUUAUUGGAGUUGAUCACACACGCAUAAUGGAAAUCACUUGAAAUCUAAACUAACAGAGAGCCUUCCAUCACAGUAAUAGCUUUUCCUCGCAGCUGCACUCUCUGAUUCUGCUUGUCUACAUGAAUGUUCAAGAUCCCACUUCUUGGUGAUGCCUGAGUCAGGUAAAAUGUAAUCAACAUAUAACAAUUAGAAGGAAUAUGAAUAGACAUAAAUUAGAGAGAAAUGGGUGCAAAGAGAGUACCGCAUAAGCCACAAAAUCACACUUUCCAAGCUUUUGACUCCAAUAGGUUGCCAAAGCACAAUGUGCACUCCCACAAACGGGAUCCUGAUAUAAACAAGUCAUGUACAUAUAAGACUGUUAUUAGAACUGUUUCAAUAUUGACAGAGUUUUUGAAAAUUAUUUCCAUCUUACUUAUUGGAUCCUAAACUACAGUACCAUACAUUAAAGAAAGUUCUUUGUUCUCUUACAUAGACACAUUACUUCAAAUGCCAAAAAUCCUUCUUGAAAUCAAAACAGAGCAAUCUACACUAGACUUUAGAGGCAAUAUAUGUUUCGAAGUUAGCAAAUGGGUGAAAAGCUAGUAGGAAAGGAGCAAUAAUUUUGUUCACUUUCAGCUGUAACAUUUCACUCAAUUUGCAGGCCUUAUUACUCAUCAGAUUUUCUAAAACAGAAACGAUAUUCAAUGCACAUCUCCAUGUAGCAUGAGUUAUGACAAAUGUACAUGCUCAUAAUACAGUAGUAUAUAAACUCAUUCAUUAAAACCAACGAGUUAUUACCUCAUUGAUGCCAAAUUUAGGGCAGAAGAAUCGGCUAUAAAAAUCAAAUCCAGACUCUGGAGGAGCAAGCCCUGAAACAAUUAUGCCGCUUCCAGGACAUUUUCGUAUUUGAUCAAACUGUGGCUCCACGUCUGUAACAGAUUUCGCCGAUGGGAGCACGACCUGCAUAUUGUAGCCAACUUCAUUCAGAACAACUACUAACACUAUAUCCAAAUGAGUAAAGGGUUAAAAGAAAUUACAAAGAUAUCUUCUGAGGUAGUUGUUAUCUUCAUAUCCAUGACUGAAGAAACACUCAAAGCCUUAUGAAUUAAUGAAACCUCAGAAAAAUUGAAAUCAGUAGUUGGAACUGUAGGAAAAUCCAAUUCAAUAAAAUAGCACUCUCGUGCUUCGCCUUUCUGUGAAUUAGAGUCAUUCAUCGCCUUAACAUCUGGAACUUUUUUGGCUGUUAGAAUUCCAGACAGUGUGGCAAAUUCAAUUAUGUUGGAGUUUACCAAACCUCUCGAAAAAAGAGUGUGUGCAGCUGCUAAUGUUGCAUGACCACAAAGUUCAACCUGCAAAAAACUUAUCCUGAAAUUAAAAUACACUCUCCUUUGUGUUGGAGUAAGUGUCAUAUACAUAAAAAACUAUAACAUGAACACAUGAAAAUCUAUGAAGCUUAAUGAUCAGAAAUAAUAUCAUUCAAGAUAAAAAUUUAGCUAUAAUCUUCCUUCAGAACUAAAAGAAGCAUAGCACAUAAAUAAGAGUAAACAUUCCACAAUGAUGGAAUGAUGAAAAAACUAAAACCCCAUGAAAUAAGAUAAAUCAUCAAGCUCCAGAACUGAGCCAAAUAGCUUCAUCCACAACUUAUAAUUAUAAAAACUGAAACUGACCUCAGCAACAGGAGUGAACCAUCUAAGACGGAACCUCGGAUUAGGAGAUUCAGCAUCAGUAAGGCGAGUCAAGUAACAGGUCUCGGAGAUAUUGAACUCAGAAGCCACAGCUUGUAGCCAUUCUUCAUCUCUAUCUUCCUCUAACAAACAAACCGCUGCUGGGUUCCCCUUGAAAGCUGAGUCGGUAAAAGCAUCCACCUGUCAAAGCAACAAAAAGAACCCAGUCCCAUUCAACCACAACGGAACAUCAAUCUAUAAAUACAAAAGAGGAGAUUACUAUUAGUUACCACAGAAUAUUGUACGAGCUUCUUGGCCAUGUUGCAGAAUAAAGAAUGAAGUUUAGAGUUUGACACGUGAAACUUGGAGUUGCAAAAGGUGAAGAGCUGAAACCCGAAACUGAGAUGAAAGAAAUGGUCAACACCUAACAGCCGCCAACCUACUGUCUUUUUCUUUAUAUUUUUUUUCCUUUUUUUCCACGGUUCUUCCCCUCUCGGACGCUUGCCACAUUCGAUUGGACUGUGCAUGAUACAAUAAGAUUUGUUUUUCUUAUAAUUAUCUUGUAUUCUGCCUACUACAACCAACUGAUUAACUUAAUUUAUAAGAAAAGAAAUUUCUUAAAUUACAUUUAUUGUAAAGAGCAGAAUCAAGUGAGGCAACGGAUAAAUUUUAUUUGACAGUGAAUUAUAUUAAAUAUAAUUUAGAGAGAUUCAUAAGAAAAUGAGCCCCAAUAUGAUUAACGAACUUGCACAAAUUAUAUGGAUUCUUUUCUCUGAAAAAUGUCUUUGUUCUGAAAAACAUCAGAUCAAAAGAAACCAUAGCGAAAAUACACGAACAAAAACACCUCAAAUAUCUUCAGCAGAACAAGUAGUGAUCAACAAAAUACAGUCCAAUGAAAUUGGCUUACUGUUUAUUGUAUUACAAUGAAGUGAUUUUAUCAUAUAACAUUGGAUAUCAGAUACCACCAAAUUGGAUGGUACAAAUGUAAAUUUUAUCUUAAAGAUGUCUUGUACAAGGUAUCGAAACAUGAUCAAGAAACACUCCAGGGAAUCAUUAUUUGCACGUAAUGAUUGACAUUUAUUGGAGUUGAUCACACACGCAUAAUGGAAAUCACUUGAAAUCUAAACUAACAGAGAGCCUUCCAUCACAGUAAUAGCUUUUCC